Long non-coding RNA from Mauremys reevesii (Reeves's turtle), 693 nucleotides. RefSeq lists it as uncharacterized. The transcript has 4 exons. NCBI's taxonomy places the organism in Eukaryota, Metazoa, Chordata, Testudines, Geoemydidae. The record is from RefSeq and is a predicted model, not a curated record.
AAUUAUUAUACAUAAGCUUUCUUUUCAUUCCCUCCAUAUAUCCCUUUGCAUGCAUCGCUGCUGCUUCACUGUCUGUGGGCUUCUCUACAUUCAAGCCUCCAACAGGUUAUUUAAGGUUACAAUUCUUAAUCUAAAGUUCUGUUUCAUUGUGGCAGAAGCCGUCUUGUGCUGAUACUGGAUUUAGCUGCAAACCCAGGCUCUUCGGUGCUGGUCACUUCCCUCAAGGGACAUGUAACCUCUGCAGAAAAUACAUUCUGCCAGGGAUUGCUGUGGCACCAGAACAGAGGGAAGUCGGUUCGCCAGCCAUAGGGAGGCUGCCAAUAGGGAGAACAAGAGGCUGCCUUCCUCGCAGCGUCCUGCCAGGUAAAUGCUGUUGAACUGCCAUGGAGAUGUGGGGUGGGGCACAGCCCUCACACUUACCUUGCUAGCAAUCACCAAAUUCACCAGGCCUGUUGCUGACUGAAUGAGAGAUUCAGCCUCUUUGCUGGGCUGGUCUUCACUACGAGGAGAUGGAUGCUGCUGCAAUCGAUGCAACAGGGAUCAAUUUAGUGGGUCAAGUGAAGACCCGCUAAAUCAACCGCAGAGCCCUCUCUGGUCAACCCCGGUACUCCAGUUCUUCAAGAAGACUAAGGGAAGUCGACUGGAGAGCGCCUCCCAUCGAAGCAGUGCAGUGAAGACACCGGGGUAAGUUGA